RNAcentral lists this ribosomal RNA (851 nucleotides) under Nigrospora hainanensis. Its description in RNAcentral is "eukaryotic LSU rRNA". It matches the Rfam family "Eukaryotic large subunit ribosomal RNA", at positions 68 to 946 of the family's 3401-position model. The record is from RNAcentral. Lineage: Eukaryota; Fungi; Ascomycota; Sordariomycetes; Amphisphaeriales; Apiosporaceae.
ACAGGGAUUCCCCUAGUAACGGCGAGUGAAGCGGGAACAGCUCAAAUUUGAAAUCUGGCCCUUGGGUCCGAGUUGUAAUUUGUAGAGGAUGCUUUUGGUGCGGUGCCUUCCGAGUUCCCUGGAACGGGACGCCUUAGAGGGUGAGAGCCCCGUACGGUUGGACGCCUAGCCUCUGUAAAGCUCCUUCGACGAGUCGAGUAGUUUGGGAAUGCUGCUCUAAAUGGGAGGUAUAUUUCUUCUAAAGCUAAAUACUGGCCAGAGACCGAUAGCGCACAAGUAGAGUGAUCGAAAGAUGAAAAGCACUUUGAAAAGAGGGUUAAAUAGCACGUGAAAUUGUUGAAAGGGAAGCGUUUAUCACCAGACUUUUUCUGGGGGGAUCAUCCGGUGUUCUCACCGGUGCACUUCCCCCAGUUGAGGCCAGCAUCGGUUUUCGGAGGGGGAUAAAAGCUUCGGGAAUGUGACUCCCUCGGGAGUGUUAUAGCCCGUUGCAUAAUACCCUUCUGGGGACCGAGGUUCGCGCAUCUGCAAGGAUGCUGGCAUAAUGGUGAUCAACGACCCGUCUUGAAACACGGACCAAGGAGUCGAACAUUUAUGCGAGUGUUUGGGUGUCAAACCCUCACGCGUAAUGAAAGUGAACGGAGGUGAGAGCCCUUACGGGUGCAUCAUCGACCGAUCCUGAUGUCUUCGGAUGGAUUUGAGUAAGAGCAUAACUGUUCGGACCCGAAAGAUGGUGAACUAUGCGUGGAUAGGGUGAAGCCAGGAGAAAUCCUGGUGGAGGCUCGCAGCGGUUCUGACGUGCAAAUCGAUCGUCAAAUCUGCGCAUGGGGGCGAAAGACUAAUCGAACCAUCUA